RNAcentral lists this ribosomal RNA (507 nucleotides) under uncultured Desulfobulbus sp. RNAcentral's name for it is "bacterial SSU rRNA". It matches the Rfam family "Bacterial small subunit ribosomal RNA", at positions 903 to 1382 of the family's 1533-position model. The record is from RNAcentral. Lineage: Bacteria; Pseudomonadati; Thermodesulfobacteriota; Desulfobulbia; Desulfobulbales; Desulfobulbaceae.
CGCCUUGCCAGCCCGCUCAGAACUUAAAGGAAUUGACGGGGCCGCACAAGCGUGGAGUAUGUGGUUUAAUUCGAUGCAACGCGAAGAACCUUACCUGGUCUUGACAUCCCGGAGACCCUUAGGAAACUAGGGGGUGCUUCCAUCUGGAAGAAUCUGGAGACAGGUGCUGCAUGGCUGUCGUCAGCUCGUGUCGUGAGAUGUUGGGUUAAGUCCCGCAACGAGCGCAACCCUUGCCUUUAGUUGCCAGCAGUUCGGCUGGGCACUCUAAAGGGACUGCCGGUGUUAAACCGGAGGAAGGUGGGGAUGACGUCAAGUCCUCAUGGCCUUUAUGACCAGGGCUACACACGUACUACAAUGGCCGAUACAAAGGGCAGCGACACUGCGAGGUGAAGCCAAUCCCGUAAAAUCGGUCUCAGUCCGGAUUGGAGUCUGCAACUCGACUCCAUGAAGUUGGAAUCGCUAGUAAUCGUGGAUCAGCAUGCCACGGUGAAUACGUUCCCGGGCCUU